GGGGGUGUAGCUCAGAGGGAGAGCACCUGCCUUGCAAGCAGGGGGUCAGGAGUUCGAAUCUCCUCAUCUCCACCA
Molecule: transfer RNA, 75 nt
Filed under: Syntrophothermus lipocalidus DSM 12680
Lineage: Bacteria; Bacillati; Bacillota; Clostridia; Eubacteriales; Syntrophomonadaceae
Description: tRNA-Ala (TGC) (tRNA-Ala-TGC-1-1)
Rfam family: tRNA
About the family: Transfer RNA (tRNA) molecules are approximately 80 nucleotides in length. Their secondary structure includes four short double-helical elements and three loops (D, anti-codon, and T loops).
Source: RNAcentral